GGGUCCAUAGCACAAUGGUAGAGCACUCGGCUUUUAACCGAUAGGUUGUGGGUUCGAGUCCCACUGGACCCA
Molecule: transfer RNA, 72 nt
Filed under: Nephroselmis olivacea
Lineage: Eukaryota; Viridiplantae; Chlorophyta; Nephroselmidophyceae; Nephroselmidales; Nephroselmidaceae
Description: tRNA-Lys
Rfam family: tRNA
About the family: Transfer RNA (tRNA) molecules are approximately 80 nucleotides in length.
Source: RNAcentral